Molecule: transfer RNA, 76 nt
Filed under: Desmophyllum pertusum
Lineage: Eukaryota; Metazoa; Cnidaria; Anthozoa; Scleractinia; Caryophylliidae
Description: tRNA-Gly
Source: RNAcentral
AGUCUUGUAGCUCAAUGGUAGAGCGUCCGACUACCUGUGCGGAAGGUCACAGGUUCUACUCCAGUUGGUAAAACUU